CUGACAAAAGUUCUCAGGGAACAUUCAACGCUGUCGGUGAGUUUUGUCAGUGGGAUUAAACCAUCGACUGUUGAGUGUACCCUGCGGCCUUUGC
RNAcentral lists this microRNA precursor (94 nucleotides) under Python bivittatus (Burmese python). RNAcentral describes it as "microRNA pbv-mir-181a precursor (pbv-mir-181a-1)". Its record names the gene pbv-mir-181a-1. The stretch from base 9 to 91 matches the Rfam family "mir-181 microRNA precursor family". From Rfam's summary of the family: In this case the mature sequence comes from the 5' arm of the precursor. Lineage: Eukaryota; Metazoa; Chordata; Lepidosauria; Squamata; Pythonidae. The record is from miRBase by way of RNAcentral.